CAGUGGCCUACACCUCCCUGGUAAUGGCGGGAGUCAUCAUGCUCAUCUCCAGCGCUGCCUGCUCACUUGGCAGGGACAAGUCUUGGAGCCAUGGCUAGAAAACAAGGAAGGCAGGAGGAAACCUCAGUGCUAUUCACACAGCUGAAAAGUAUCCCCUCUCAAUCAUGCCUAAUGACAGAACCCACUUCAAGUUUUCUAGGAAACGAGGAACUAUCACCCAAAUCCAGAAGACAGGAGACAUCCGUUUCCACCGUCAGCUGCUCCAGCAGAUCUUCAGCCUCUUCCCCAGGGACGACACACUGGCUGUUUGGCAUAAGAUCCUCCUCAAUAAACGACUCUCCAGACUUGAUCACAGUCUGGAACGACUGCAGCUGACAAAAGUACAUUUCUGCAAAAGUAGAAAAUCUAUCUUGUCUCUAUUUAGGAAUUGCUGUCUGGAAAUAUUUCCAAAGAAUCAUUCCCUAUGUGAAGUAAAGGGAAUAAGGCCUCUGUGCCUGGGAGGUUGUCAGAGGGGAAAUUGAAGGGUGCUUUUCCCUAGUUAACAAUCCUCAAAGAAAAGACAGCAAAUAAA
Molecule: long non-coding RNA, 571 nt
Filed under: Homo sapiens (human)
Lineage: Eukaryota; Metazoa; Chordata; Mammalia; Primates; Hominidae
Description: non-protein coding lnc-IFNA8-1:1
Source: RNAcentral